RNAcentral lists this non-coding RNA (317 nucleotides) under Knoellia aerolata DSM 18566. RNAcentral describes it as "Bacterial large subunit ribosomal RNA". It matches the Rfam family "Bacterial large subunit ribosomal RNA", at positions 2614 to 2925 of the family's 2925-position model. Lineage: Bacteria; Bacillati; Actinomycetota; Actinomycetes; Micrococcales; Intrasporangiaceae. The record is from Rfam by way of RNAcentral.
GAACGUCGUGAGACAGUUCGGUCCCUAUCUGCCGUGGGCGUUGGAAGAUUGAGAGGGGUUGCUCCUAGUACGAGAGGACCGGAGUGAACGCACCACUGGUGUUCGGGUUGUCAUGCCAAUGGCAUUGCCCGGUAGCUAAGUGCGGAAAAGAUAAGCGCUGAAAGCAUCUAAGCGCGAAACUUGCCUCAAGAUGAGUCUUCCCUGGACCUUUAAGGUCCCUGAAGGAACGUUUAAGACUAAGACGUUGAUAGGCUGGGUGUGUAAGUGCAGCGAUGCAUUGAGCUAACCAGUACUAAUGAUCCGUGAGGCUUAACCUU